GGACUUUCUCUUAAUGAGAGCAUUAGAAGGUUGUAUCGUCAUCCAUAUCCAUUUUGAGAUGGGAACUCAAACAGGAUACGAUAGACCAUGUUUGAUGAGUUUAAGGUAUACAAUUUAAUUAUUAAUUAUUUGCAGGCCAAAACUUUAGGGUGUGCGCUGACUCAUGAUGAGCUCUUUUGGGCUACACAUAUAGGAAAGAAGAAGAAUGUGAAUGAAUGGGUCGAGGCAAGGGCUUAAAAAGCUUAUGUAAGUUUGAAAAUUAGUACAAAUUGUAAUAAUAUGACUCUAUAUGUAUAUACUAACUUUUGUUUUCAUAUAUGUAGGUUGUUUAUCAACAAUGCUUGUCUGAGUACAAUGAGACUCAUCAAGUCCAGGGCGAGCCAUCCCAGCCUCCAUCGAAUAAUGUUGCUACUAAAAUAUGGACUGAGUAUGUAGCUGAAGGGAGACAAAAGGGGAGUCUACAUCAUAUGGGUACUUGUAACAAUGCGGUUGAA
This 494-nucleotide long non-coding RNA is filed under the name Solanum tuberosum (potato). RNAcentral's name for it is "long non-coding RNA (STUB_LNC009315)". The record is from RNAcentral. Lineage: Eukaryota; Viridiplantae; Streptophyta; Magnoliopsida; Solanales; Solanaceae.